AACGAACGCUGGCGGCAGGCCUAACACAUGCAAGUCGAGCGAGCAUUUCGGUGCUAGCGGCGGACGGGUGAGUAACGCGUGGGAACGUGCCCUUUUCUGCGGAAUAGUCCUGGGAAACUGGGGGUAAUACCGCAUACGCCCUUUUGAGGAAAGAUUUAUCGGAGAAGGAUCGGCCCGCGUUGGAUUAGGUAGUUGGUGGGGUAAUGGCCCACCAAGCCGACGAUCCAUAGCUGGUUUGAGAGGAUGAUCAGCCACACUGGGACUGAGACACGGCCCAGGCUCCUACGGGAGGCAGCAGUGGGGAAUCUUAGACAAUGGGGGCAACCCUGAUCUAGCCAUGCCGCGUGAGUGAUGAAGGCCUUAGGGUUGUAAAGCUCUUUCAGCUGGGAAGAUAAUGACGGUACCAGCAGAAGAAGCCCCGGCUAACUCCGUG
RNAcentral lists this ribosomal RNA (433 nucleotides) under uncultured bacterium. RNAcentral describes it as "partial 16S ribosomal RNA". It matches the Rfam family "Bacterial small subunit ribosomal RNA", at positions 29 to 507 of the family's 1533-position model. The record is from RNAcentral.